This 61-nucleotide transfer RNA is filed under the name Neotoma lepida (desert woodrat). It matches the Rfam family "tRNA", at positions 6 to 65 of the family's 71-position model. From Rfam's summary of the family: Transfer RNA (tRNA) molecules are approximately 80 nucleotides in length. The record is from Rfam by way of RNAcentral. Lineage: Eukaryota; Metazoa; Chordata; Mammalia; Rodentia; Cricetidae.
UGUAGCUCAACGGUAGAGUGCAUGUCUGGCAUGCAUGAGGCUCUGGGUUCAAUUUCUAGCA